RNAcentral lists this ribosomal RNA (253 nucleotides) under uncultured bacterium. RNAcentral describes it as "partial 16S ribosomal RNA". It matches the Rfam family "Bacterial small subunit ribosomal RNA", at positions 524 to 776 of the family's 1533-position model. The record is from RNAcentral.
UACAGAGGGUGCAAGCGUUGUUCGGAAUUAUUGGGCGUAAAGGGCGCGUAGGCGGUGCGGUAAGUCUGUAGUGAAAUCUCUGGGCUCAACUCAGAGUCUGCUAUAGAAACUGCCGUGCUCGAGUGUGGGAGAGGUGAGUGGAAUUCCCGGUGUAGCGGUGAAAUGCGUAGAUAUCGAGAGGAACACCGGUGGCGAAGGCGGCCUUCUGGACAGUGACUGACGCUGAGACGCGAAAGCGUGGGGAGCAAACAGG